Molecule: long non-coding RNA, 860 nt
Filed under: Volvox carteri
Lineage: Eukaryota; Viridiplantae; Chlorophyta; Chlorophyceae; Chlamydomonadales; Volvocaceae
Description: long non-coding RNA (VCAR_LNC002159)
Source: RNAcentral
GUGGCUGUAGUCGCCAUCGCAGGAUCGCAGGAUUGCCAGGAACUCCUCAUGAUCUUCGGGCUCCCAGCCGCCUGUAAAAGGUACGAGAUUGGAGGGGGGACGGGACGCUGGGGCGGGACAAGGCGGAAGGGGCGCCCUGCUUCCCCGUCCCAUCCCAUGUUUUCCCACCCCAAAACGAUUUCCUCCACGUGGGGACACGUCGUAGGCACGCGUAGGCUCUUCACAUCACACAGACGCACCUGUGGGGCCGUGCUGAGCCAUAAAUUCUUCGUACUCCUCUACCUCGGGAGCCAGCCCCCCUCCGCCAUUCCCGCCACCGCCGCCGCUGCUGCUACCAGCUCUGAAACCACAGCCAUUGCCUCCACCUCCGCCGCCCGUGGAUGCUCGGCGCUGCCGUGCUUGGGAGGUGGGCCGCCUAUAGGGGUAGCAGCGGGACAGCGAGGAGGGACAACGGAAGGGUGGGUUAAAAUGCUCCUUUCCCGGCCCCUCUCCGUUUUUCCCCUCACCCCCUUGACAUUGUCCCUCCCUCCCCCUUCAAUGCGCGCGCGAGAGAGUCAUAAGACAUGACAUCAACACAGCACUAGUACGCAAAAACGCGAUCGCACAACCGGCACACAAACCCAGCCUGAACUCUUUCUUAACCCACGCUCACGAAGAAUGGUACCACAGAAACCGCAACCGCACGCGCAUGCACCAUCCUGCUCAAGGCCACAGCGCCGAAGACCCCCAAUCGGUCGGGACCACAGGAUCAGACCCACGCCGAUUUCUCCUCCACCUCCCAUUGAAGUCACUCGGGCGCAAUUCCUGGAUCCCACCUGGGUCCAGCGCUUGCGGGACGUAAGGACCCACAGGGACCUGCA